RNAcentral lists this non-coding RNA (274 nucleotides) under Pediculus humanus corporis (human body louse). The record is from RNAcentral. Lineage: Eukaryota; Metazoa; Arthropoda; Insecta; Psocodea; Pediculidae.
ACCGGGAGAGGGGGUGUACUCCCGUAUUUCAACUACACGAAGGCUGGGUAUAAAGGAUGUUUUAGGGGCGGGGGGUUCUGGAAUUGAAUUUUCCAAGUUGAGUAGGCGUCCGCUAGGGGUAAACCUCAAACUUAGAUGCCUUGGGGGAGCCUGAGGUAACCAGGUUGUUGAGUACAAAAGGGGCAUAAAAGUCACCGAGUUGAGAGUCGUGGGUUUAAAUCUUGGGAAUGGGAGUUCGAAUUCACCUGGCUCAAUCAGGAACAAACCUGGUCUA